RNAcentral lists this small RNA (170 nucleotides) under Chrysemys picta bellii (western painted turtle). Its description in RNAcentral is "TUC338 (ENSCPBG00000022688.1)". Lineage: Eukaryota; Metazoa; Chordata; Testudines; Emydidae. The record is from RNAcentral.
GCAACAGCCCCAGUGAAUGAUGCCCUCUAUCCACAGUAUAGUCAGCAGGGGCAGUGACCAUGCACAUUUCUCUACACUGUCCCAUCAAUGUGCUUCAACCCUGACCUGGAGGCACUAAUCUGGGGUGAAGGGGAAGUUAAGUCUUCACACUUACUCAAUCCUUGGUGAGU